RNAcentral lists this ribosomal RNA (471 nucleotides) under uncultured bacterium. RNAcentral describes it as "bacterial SSU rRNA". It matches the Rfam family "Bacterial small subunit ribosomal RNA", at positions 32 to 518 of the family's 1533-position model. The record is from RNAcentral.
AGGACGACGCUGGCGGCGUGCUUCAUACAUGCAAGUCGAACGAUAAGGUUCCUUCGGGAAUACAUAAGUGGCGGACGGGUGAGUAAUAUGUAGAGAAUCUGCCUUCAAGCGGGGGACAACAGAGGGAAACUUCUGCUAAUACCCCAUAUGAGCGUACCUGUGAUGGUAUUCUUGAAAGCUCCGGCGCUUGGAGAUGAGUCUGCAUCUGAUUAGCUAGUUGGGGGUGUAAUGGACCACCAAGGCGACGAUCAGUAGCUGGUUUGAGAGGAUGAUCAGCCACAAUGGGACUGAGACACGGCCCAUACUCCUACGGGAGGCAGCAGUAGGGAAUUUUGCGCAAUGGGCGAAAGCCUGACGCAGCCAACGCCGCGUGAUCGCAGACGGCCUUCGGGUUGUAAAGAUCUGUCAGUAGGGACGAACAAUGACUGUACCUACAGAGGAAGCACCGGCUAACUCCGUGCCAGCAGCCGC